Molecule: ribosomal RNA, 411 nt
Filed under: uncultured bacterium
Lineage: Bacteria
Description: bacterial SSU rRNA
Rfam family: Bacterial small subunit ribosomal RNA
Source: RNAcentral
GUGCCAGCCGCCGCGGUAAUACGGAGGGUGCAAGCGUUAAUCGGAAUAACUGGGCGUAAAGCGCACGCAGGCGGUCGGAUAAGUCAGAUGUGAAAGCCCCGGGCUCAACCUGGGAACUGCAUUUGAAACUGUUCGACUAGAGUCUUGUAGAGGGGGGUAGAAUUCCAGGUGUAGCGGUGAAAUGCGUAGAGAUCUGGAGGAAUACCGGUGGCGAAGGCGGCCCCCUGGACAAAGACUGACGCUCAGGUGCGAAAGCGUGGGGAGCAAACAGGAUUAGAUACCCUGGUAGUCCACGCUGUAAACGAUGUCAACUUGGAGUCUGUGCCAUUGAGCGUGGGCUCCGAAGCUAACGCGAUAAGUUGACCGCCUGGGGAGUACGGCCGCAAGGUUAAAACUUAAAUGAAUUGACGG